This 466-nucleotide ribosomal RNA is filed under the name Halorubrum sp. RNAcentral describes it as "bacterial SSU rRNA". It matches the Rfam family "Archaeal small subunit ribosomal RNA", at positions 330 to 794 of the family's 1478-position model. The record is from RNAcentral. Lineage: Archaea; Methanobacteriati; Methanobacteriota; Halobacteria; Halobacteriales; Haloferacaceae.
GUGCAGCAGGCGCGAAACCUUUACACUGCACGACAGUGCGAUAAGGGAAUCCCAAGUGCGUAGGCAUAGAGCCUACGCUUUUGUCUACCGUAGGGAGGUAGACGAAUAAGGGCUGGGCAAGACCGGUGCCAGCCGCCGCGGUAAUACCGGCAGCCCGAGUGAUGGCCGAUCUUAUUGAGCCUAAAGCGUCCGUAGCUGGCCGCGCAAGUCUAUCGGAAAAUCCACCCGCUCAACGGGUGGGCGUCCGGUAGAAACUGCGUGGCUUGGGACCGGAAGGCGCGACGGGUACGUCCGGGGUAGGAGUGAAAUCCUGUAAUCCUGGACGGACCGCCGAUGGCGAAAGCACGUCGCGAAGACGGAUCCGACAGUGAGGGACGAAAGCUAGGGUCUCGAACCGGAUUAGAUACCCGGGUAGUCCUAGCCGUAAACAAAUGCCUGUUAGGUGUGGCUCCCACUACGAGUGGGU